UCUCUGUUAGUAUAUCGGUUAGUACACGCGCCUGUCAAUGAAUUGCUCGCGCGAAAGCGGGGUUCGACUCCCCGACAGAGAG
Non-coding RNA from Trametes polyzona, 82 nucleotides. The record is from the annotation of a GenBank genome assembly. Lineage: Eukaryota; Fungi; Basidiomycota; Agaricomycetes; Polyporales; Polyporaceae.